AUGUUGUGCAUACUUGAUAUAGGUAAUUGUCAAUGUCAACUAUCAUUAUACUGACAUUUGAAGUUUGUUUUUUUUCUAAAUUACCUCCCUUAUAUAUGCAUUUUUCUUCAUUCAUUUUAUUGAUAAUUACUUCCCUUUAUGUUUAGCAACAAUUCUCAGAUUGCAUUUAAUUAACUCCAUUUAUUUAACAUGAAAAAUUCUCUUGUGUAAUGAUUAUUUGUAUAUUUUACUUACAGUGUCUGAUACAUGUAGUUGCAGUCUGUCUUUGGAAGCUGUAGAAAUAACAAGAAAGAGGCUGACAUAGUGUUUUGGUAGGGAAAAGUUUGAGUAUGUACAUGUACAGUUGUUUGACCUGUCUUACCCUGUGGCAGUCCAAGAAGAUGUUACCAUUAUGAACAAGAGUGCCAGAAUGUCACAAUAUACGCCCGUCACAGCAAAUUUCUUUACUCUAGCACCUGUAUUUGCAAAUGGAAUUUUAAUUUUGUGGUUGUUUAGUAAUCAUUAACUUGAAGACAAUGGGUAGUGCAGAAGGGACAUUAAAGUUGUGAUAAAAGUAACAGAUAUAAAUAAGAAGUGCUACAAGUGUGUUGUCAUGUGAAAUGGAAUUUACCCCAACUGUGCUGCAUGAUGUAUAUUCAAGUGUGAGACAGCCAUGCACCAGCUGUAAACUGAGAUGGACCCAUAUAAUAAAUAUGUUGACUUUUCUAUGUAUUAUCAUCUGUACAGAAUGUGUUCAUGACAAGACUGUAUACAUAUAUUGUUAAAUCAUUUUUAUUUCCAUUAUUGCAUGCAUGUAAGAAGCAAGCAUUUAACAAUUGCAUUCAUAGAAAUGUUAAAAUGUGAUCAAUCUAAUUUAAAGGAACACAUUUAAUUGGACUUUUUAAGUUUCAUAGUAUUUCUGGUGGAGAUUGACCCAGUCAUUCAGCAACUUAUACUGUCUUUGUGUCAUUUCUUGUAUGUUAUAGUUUUCUUAAUAAUACAUGUACAUUAAAUGUCAAAGUUAUGGUAAGAUGAACUCAUUCAUCACUUGUAGAUUAAUGUUAAAGCAGUUCAACAUUUUACCAUAAGUUAACUAAUAUUCUAUUUAACCAGAGUUGUCACAUAUUUUCAUAUAAACAUUAAUACAGUCUAAUCUAAUCUACAAAUGAUGUUCCACAAUUUUUUAGUUAUAUUUUAUGUUGAUAUUUCAUGUUGUUUUCAUGUCUCAACAUAUAAUUACUAACAUCAAAGAAACUUGAGUAUUUUACAAUUUGGUUGGUAUAAAAUGUUGUUUUAUUUAUAUAUUUUAUUUUUUUCCAUCCAGGAGAAUAAAGAAAUAUACAUUUCAAAAUAUCUCAUCAUUCCAGAUAAGUACACUACAUAAACAAGAUAAAAGAAAUAAGAACAAAAUAUGUUGGUGGAAUUUUAUUUUCAAAAAUUUGAUAUACAGUCUUUACUUCUUUAGAUAUGCUGGACUGAAAUGGGAAUAACAACAUACUUUAAAUUUUUGUAGUCAUAAGUUAAUAUGGGAAUUAUUAACUUAACUUAACUUAAAAAGAUUUGUUCUCACUGUUAUGCCAUCUGAGCUUUAAUAUUUUUCAACAUUGUCAUUGGCAACAAGGCUCAAAAUUAUUUGUUGUGUAUACCUUGCAAAAAUAUACAUUUCAAAAUAUCUCAUCAUUCCAGAUAAGUACACUACAUAAACAAGAUAAAAGAAAUAAGAACAAAAUAUGUUGGUGGAAUUUUAUUUUCAAAAAUUUGAUAUACAGUCUUUGUAGUAUUUACUUCUUUAGAUAUGCUGGACUGAAAUGGGAAUAACAACAUACUUUAAAUUUUUGUAGUCAUAGGUUAAUAUGGGAAUUAUUAACUUAACUUAACUUAAAAAGAUUUUUUCUCACUGUUAUGCCAUCUGAGCUUUAAUAUUUUUCAACAUUGUCAUUGGCAACAAGGCUCAAAAUUAUUUGUUGUGUAUACCUUGCAUUUAUGUGUGAUAAAUGCUUUUAAUGGUAUUCUUUAAUAUAAUUUAUGCUUUUCAUCUUACCAUGGAUUAAAAAAAUAUAAAUUUAUUUGUCUGAAAAUUAAGGUAAAAAUACUGACUGAUUAAAUUGCAAUAUAAGAAAGCUUAUUUGAGAUAAAGGGAGGUAAUUCCAUAAAAAAUAUGUAGAAUGUAGAUGAUAAAUAUAACAAAGGGAAGUAAUAAAAUAU
Molecule: long non-coding RNA, 2184 nt
Organism: Mercenaria mercenaria
Lineage: Eukaryota; Metazoa; Mollusca; Bivalvia; Venerida; Veneridae
Exons: 4
Source: RefSeq, a predicted model, not a curated record